RNAcentral lists this ribosomal RNA (253 nucleotides) under uncultured bacterium. Its description in RNAcentral is "partial 16S ribosomal RNA". It matches the Rfam family "Bacterial small subunit ribosomal RNA", at positions 524 to 776 of the family's 1533-position model. The record is from RNAcentral.
UACGAAGGGGGCUAGCGUUGCUCGGAAUCACUGGGCGUAAAGGGUGCGUAGGCGGGCUUUUAAGUCAGAGGUGAAAUCCUGGAGCUCAACUCCAGAACUGCCUUUGAUACUGAAAGUCUUGAGUACGGGAGAGGUGAGUGGAACUGCGAGUGUAGAGGUGAAAUUCGUAGAUAUUCGCAAGAACACCAGUGGCGAAGGCGGCUCACUGGCCCGAUACUGACGCUGAGGCACGAAAGCGUGGGGAGCAAACAGG